This 30-nucleotide non-coding RNA is filed under the name Rattus norvegicus (Norway rat). Lineage: Eukaryota; Metazoa; Chordata; Mammalia; Rodentia; Muridae. The record is from RNAcentral.
UAGAUGCCGUGUCUUGGCCUCUCCCCUGGU